UUGCAUGUCAAAUGCCAACGGGAGAGACAGCUGGAGUAUCUAAACCAAGAGCUUUGAUCUUAGUAUCUGUAAAAAAGAGGUCAUUUGGUCUCCCCAGGAAGCACAGACAUUUAGAAGGUCCCUGUACAACUCAUGCAAGUAUUUUAUUAACAACAAUUUCUAUUCACAUGUAGGUAGAGAAGGCAAACUGUGGUUUCAGUGAGCAAGAAGGAUCAUCGAGAGGCUCAGUCACCACUCUCAUGUCAUGAAUAGUGGCCUCCUGUCCCCAUUUUGUCCUCUCUGACACAGCCAGUGACAGCUUCUUGCAACAGUUGUAUUAAACACUGAGCUCAGUCCUGCAAAACAGUGAUCAUUUCCAAAAGAUGCUGCGUGAGAUAGGGCAGGGCACUCGGCAUUUCCUGGAAAGCAAUUAGUCUUGAUGAGAUUGGGUUGCCCAACUCUCAUGUCACUAAUUAAAUCACAACUUUUCUUUCCUUUGGUAAAACAAAAGCUUGAUUCAUGAAUUAAAAUACAUAGUGAAUCUGAUUUUGACUCUGAUCCUCUGUAUGUUCGUAAUUAAACAACCAGCUCCUUUUAUGAAUUGAAAUAAAACUUCUGGGGCAUGGCAAAUUUUCACUCCUAAUAAUCGUGUUCGCUUGCAUCCAUGUGACUACACUUUAAUUGCUCAUUAAUACAGACAGACUUAAUGGGAUGACACACAACUAGCUUCUUCUUUUUGGACUUCUGUAACAACGACUUCUUUUUGUCUGGUAAGGAAACCAGACAUUUCUCAGAAUCAAUCAACUUUUCCUGUGCCUUACUCUCAUGCCCUGCUGUAAAGAAUAGUAAAAUUAUCUUGCUGUAAUGUUAUUAUUAAGGACUGGUUUUACUGUGAUGGCAUUAGAAGAAUUAGAUACAUACUUUCCACUCGUACUGAUUUGACUAUGUCUAUUUUCCCCAUGUGCAGCCUGAAAAAACUAUUUGAUGCUGUACUUAGAACUGAUCACUUAGAAAUGAUUACUCGGAGGUCAUCAACAGUUGUUAACAUGAACAAAUUGUCAUAAAAAACAUAUUUUCUUCAGUGCUGGCUAUUUUUCAAUAAAAAUGUUUAAACUGAA
This is a non-coding RNA of Anas platyrhynchos (mallard), 1097 nucleotides long. NCBI's taxonomy places the organism in Eukaryota, Metazoa, Chordata, Aves, Anseriformes, Anatidae. The record is from RefSeq and is a predicted model, not a curated record.